AGUCGCACCAUUUCCCAUCUCUCGAUUCCCCGCCCGAUUUUUCUCCUCACUCCUGCCAAUAAUGCCGCUCUCUCCCUCAUCGUCGCUCUUCAGCAAAUUGCUCCACAGCUUCUUCAUGUUCUCCUUUUCGCUCGUUCUUGUUGUUGUUGUUGUUGCUGUUUCUGCUGCUGUCAUCUCACAGCUCGUCGUUGCGCCGACCUGAAUUGCUGGACAAUGCGAUGUGAAUUCGCUUGUGGGUACCUUAAGGGAAUGAGAAUCUGGGAUUGCUCCAUUUGGGUCCUGAAGUGGUCCUGAUUUGUUCGUGGUUGGAGUUUUGCGGGAGGAGUGUGGAGUGGUGGCGAGGACGUGUCGUUUUAUUUAUUUGUUUGUUUAUUUGGGUAGGCUAUUUUAGUGUCGGUGGUGUCAGUGGGAAUUGGCGGCUGGUUUUGAUGCUAAUCCGGAGAGAUUUGAGGGGGAGGGGUAGCUCGGGGGUGAGAGACGGCGAGGUGGGGAGGUUAGGGUAAAGAGGUGGCUGAGGAUUGGGGUGAGUGCGUCUAGUGUAGCGUUCAAAAGCGAUUGUGUGUGUAUUUUUGUUCCGUUUUGCCACUUGUAGAGUCCCGGAUGGGCGGACUGUUUGCGAUCUUUUCGCAUUUGGAUAUUUAUGACGGGGACACUGGGUUCGAGCUCGAGGAUUGCCUCUGUUGAAAAGUUUCCACGGCUUUGGUUGUUUCUCUUUCCGGUGUGGAGAGUGAUUGCGCCGAGCAACAAUGGGAGGGGGCUGAAUCCCUGUUCUCUUCUUCCUCCUCCUCCUCCUCCUCGGGUGCAAGUAGGAUUCGAUUGUGAAUUGCAACACUGGACGAAGGCAGCAUCGAAGGCCAUGUGCAGGGCUCUUGAUCAGAGCAUCUGUCGAGCUUUAAUUCGCACUCUCACGGCGAUGGGUGCGAGUAGUUCUUGUGGGCAAGAUAAAAUAAUAAUUUUGCAGUCCCUCCACGAAUGUAAGCAGCCGUAGCCCAGUUGUAUGGAUGGAAUGACAAGGCAACAAUGGCUGCAAAAGCGAGUAAGCUGCAGCAAUUUAAAGCUUCAUUCAAUGCAUUUCAGUUCGAGAUAGCGAAUCAGAACCAGUCUUCUCCCAAAAUGGUGAAACAGGAGUCCUUUUCUGUGCGGCAAGUUGACACUGGGCUGGAGAGCCUCGUGAAGGCCCUGCAAGAAGAGGCCGUCGUGGUGAAGGCCGAACUUGCACAGUGGAAGAACAAGGCCAAUGCUUCAGCUCAGGAGACCGCGGCGCUGAAGGAAGACUCGGACAAGAGGAUCGCUUCACUGAAGGCAGAGGUGGAAGGAUGGCGAGAUCGCGCAGCCAUGUCCGCUGGGAAAGGAAUAGUGGCCAGGCGGCAGCUGGAGGAUUUUUCCAAGCAAGUGAAGUCGUUAAGCACAGAGCUGCAAGAGUGGAAAGAGGAAGCAUUAAAGGCUCAAAAGGGGAAUGAAGACUUGAGGAUAGAGGUAGAUGAGUGGAAGCUGGAAGCAGAUGCUUUGGCCAAAGAGGUAGUGAAUUUGAAAUCGGAGGUCAGUUCCUCCAUUGCAGUCUUGCAAGCAGAUGCAGAUAAGUGGAAGCACAUUUCCUCAAGUCGUAGUGAUUCUAUCAAAGUAUUGGAAGCGGAGUUGGAGAGGCGGAUGCACAAGGCUACGAAUCGCAGCGAUGAGGACGGGCUUCAUAUGGGAGAGAGUCAGGCCUUUGCACGAGACCUGCGCGUGGACGUGGAUGAACGGAGAGACAGGCUUUCUGAGCUUGAGGCUUCCUCCCAAGCUGAAAUAGAAGAUCUGAAGAAGCAAGUUGUUUCUGCUGAGAAGGAGCGUUCCGAGCUUGAAGCCUGCUUGCAAUCCCAGAUAGAGGAUUUGACGCAGAAGAUUAUUUGUGCUGAGAAGGAGCGUUCUGAGCUGGAGGUCUCCUUCAAAGCUGAGAUAGAAGAAUUGAAGAACAAGGUUGUUGUUGCUGAGAAGGAGCGUUCUGAGCUGGAGGUUUCCUUCAAGCUGGAGAUAGACGAAUUGAAAAAGAAGGUCAUUGCUGCUGAGAAGGAGCAAGAGCAGUUGAAGCAGCGCUUCGAGGCCAGGGUGAAGGAAUUACAAGUGGAAUUGGAGGAGUGGAUGAAUGCAGCGAGCGUGACCGAACAUGAAAAGCUCGAAAGACUUGAAAUGGAGAAGAAAUUGAAAGACUCUCAAUUGAAGGCCAGAAGAGCCCUGGAAGAUCUUGCCCAUGAACGGAAGAGGAGUGCGGUGCAGAUGGCGGAGCUUCAAGCACAGGUGAAAGAUUGGAAAGUUGUUGCUGCAGACUCUUCGGAGGAAUGCUCCUCUCUUCGUGUCGCAUUUGACAGUGUCGUCCAGGAGCUGCAUUUAGAGCUUGCUCAGUGGAAACAUAAGGCAGAAGCUUCUAGUGAAGAGGAGAAGUUGGUGACGGCGGAGCUUUCCCAGUGGAAACAGAAAGCGGAAACUUCCAAUGAUGAGAUGAAAUCGGUGAAGGCAGAGCUUGAGAAGGUGGUUGAUGAAUUGCAAAAUCAAGUGCUCGUCUGGAAAGAGAAUGCUGAAAAUGCCUCGGAAGAAAUAGCAAAAAACCAAGAGUAUGCAGACUUGGUCCAAGUUUUGGAGAGUGAGCUCAGUCUCUGGAAACAGAAAGCAGAAGAUUUUCGUGAGGAGGGCAAGGUGAUGAAAGCAGAGAUUGAGAAGACGGUAGAAGACUUGCAGAAUCAGGUGCUCGUGUGGAAGGAAAAGGCUGAAAGUGCUCUGGAUGGAGUAGCCAAAAACCAAGAGUAUGCUGAGUUGGUAAGAAAUUUGGAGUAUGAGGUCAGCCUCUGGAAGCAGAGGAACCAAGAAGGCCAGUCUUUGCUCGUAGAAUUGGAAGAGGAACAAAUGCAAUUGAUGGAUUCCCUGACGGAUACUCAAAGCGAGCUGCAGCGGUGGAAAGAUAGAGCUGCAGCUGCAGCAAGGGCUGUUCGGCCUAUGCAGGAUGAUUCAAGUGACAUCAGUGAAGAAAAUGAUGAAGAGGACGUCGAUUGCCUCAGCGUUUUGCAUUCAGAACUCCUCAAGUGGAAAGCCAGAGCUCAGGAAGGGGAGCUCCUGCAAUCACAGCUGACAAACGCGGUUGCAGAGACGCAAAAAGAAUUGAAUGAAUGGAAACAGAAAGCCGCAGCCGUGACACUGGCUACAGAAUCUUUGAAGGAGGAACUUGACUGCGUGAUUGAAGAAGGAAAGAUUGAAAGAGAAGAGAUGUACAAUUCUAUCAAUGAUCUGGAAGAGGCGUUAUUUAUAUGGCAAGAGAGGGCUCAAGAGUGUCAAUCGCUUCAAACACAGCUGAAAAAUUCUCAGACAGAGCUAAAUGAAUGCAAAGACCAGUUGAAGACUUCACAGACAGAGUUAAAAGAGUGGAAGGAAAAGGCUGUGGCUAUUACCCUGACCACGAAGUCGCUAAUGGAAGAACUGGACUUCAGGAUUGAAGAAGGGCUACAAGAAAAGCAGGAAUUUUGCAAAUCCAUUAGCUCUCUUAAAGAAUCAGUGCUUGGUUGGAAGGAUAAGGCGGCUGAGAGCGAAUCCAUGAUAAAAGAACUCAGAAGUGCUCUUUCGGAAACACAAACGGCGCUUCGAGAUUGGAAAGACAGAGCCACAAGUGUUGCCAUGGCAACUGAAGCACUGAAGGGACAGAUGGAUUCUACCCUCGAAGCCUACAGAUUUGAGAAAGACGAACUCUGCAAUACGAUCAAUGAGCUGGAAGCAGAGGUCUAUGAAUGGAAAGCCAGAGCUCAAGACGGCAUGCAAGUGCAACGGCAGUUGGAGAAGGCUCUGGCGGAGCUGGAGAAAAAGAAGCGGCCCCUACUUAGAGCACAUAGAUCUAGCUCUAUUUCCAGUUGAUAACCAAGGAGUGUUACCCAUGAAGACCAUGCAUUUUCAUUCGUUAUCUAGUAAAGUCACGUCCAUUGUAUACAUAUUUCAAGCCCAGGUACCAGAGAUGGGUAGUCACUCUGCCGACACUCACAAUUCAGUGGGGUUUACUGUUAAGGAAGAUCUGUCACGAAAUGCUACAGGCAAUGUCGAGGAUUCAACACAAUUUGACUGAUGUUCUUGAGCGUCGCCCCUGAAGUUUGAUGUGAGAAUUGUGUAAACAAUCUUAUAUGAAUGAUGGUGUGGUGGAAACCAAUGGGCGUUUGUGGGAAACAUUGAAUGAUUUGCAGCAAAUUGAAACAUAUGCUGGAAGCAGCCUUUUUAACUUUCUUUGAUCCUGCCCUAAGGUGUUUGCCCUGUGUUAUUAAUCCUUAGGCUUAUCCAGGGAGAUGGUAUGUUCACAUUAGAACAUUCUGCUCAGUAAAAUGGAGAGCUUGGUCAUUUCUGCUUAGAGCGGACGCCAGAGCGUUAGCAUGUGACCAUUGAGCAUACAAGUUGAGUCAUUUGGAACCUGACCGUUAGGAAUUCCUUCAGGGGGAAUAAAAAAAAGACUUGUGAGCUAUUUUCGGAA
Non-coding RNA from Physcomitrium patens, 4474 nucleotides. Lineage: Eukaryota; Viridiplantae; Streptophyta; Bryopsida; Funariales; Funariaceae. The record is from RefSeq and is a predicted model, not a curated record.